RNAcentral lists this ribosomal RNA (433 nucleotides) under uncultured bacterium. RNAcentral describes it as "partial 16S ribosomal RNA". It matches the Rfam family "Bacterial small subunit ribosomal RNA", at positions 29 to 507 of the family's 1533-position model. The record is from RNAcentral.
AACGAACGCUGGCGGCAGGCCUAACACAUGCAAGUCGAGCGAGGACUUCGGUCCUAGCGGCGGACGGGUGAGUAACGCGUGGGAACGUGCCCUUUGCUUCGGAAUAGCCCUGGGAAACUGGGAGUAAUACCGGAUGAGCCCUUUGGGGGAAAGAUUUAUCGGCGAAGGAUCGGCCCGCGUUGGAUUAGGUAGUUGGUGGGGUAAUGGCCUACCAAGCCGACGAUCCAUAGCUGGUUUGAGAGGAUGAUCAGCCACACUGGGACUGAGACACGGCCCAGACUCCUACGGGAGGCAGCAGUGUGGAAUCUUAGACAAUGGGGGAAACCCUGAUCUAGCCAUGCCGCGUGAGCGAUGAAGGCCUUAGGGUUGUAAAGCUCUUUCAGCUGGGAAGAUAAUGACGGUACCAGCAGAAGAAGCCCCGGCUAACUCCGUG